Molecule: RNA transcript, 1016 nt
Organism: Tarenaya hassleriana
Lineage: Eukaryota; Viridiplantae; Streptophyta; Magnoliopsida; Brassicales; Cleomaceae
Exons: 3
Source: RefSeq, a predicted model, not a curated record
GAAACUGAGACUCGAUUAUCGGGGGAGAGGACAGAGAGAGUUCUUCUCCGUCGUGCACUUUUGGACGUUGGAUUUGUCGGACGAAUUUCAAAUAAAGCUGGCGGGGAAGAUAUCACAGGUCCAAUCGGUUACGAAUCCGGACUCGGGUCGGAUCCAACCGGACUUAUCACUUGCGAGUUAGACCUCGCUCUGUUUUUUUUUUUUUCCAUUGAUUUUUAUUCCUCCUGUGCAGAUGCCUCGACCAGGGGAUUCUUUUUCCAAUCCUACUAAUUGAGUGUGUGUGUGUGUGUGUGAGAGAGAGAGAGAGAGACGCUAUAUUCGGUGCGGCGAGGGAAGAUGGCGAUGCCGGUGGGAGUAGCGAUGUAUAUAGCGAAGAUGGUGUGGAUUGCUCUGAGCGGGUGGGUCGUCAUCUGCCUCUCCAUCGCCGACGAGAUCGCAGGUUGUCUCAGAACUGGCGACAUCGGCCCUUUCCAUGUCGGCUGAUCGAUUUCAAUGGCUCCUCUGAGGAGGAAAUGAAUGCAAAGGCGUGGAGAAGGCAUUGGCAAUGAUGUUUUAGACGACAACAAUGACGGAUAUAGGAAGUGGCAAUGGGUUGUGAAGAUAGAUUCUGAAACUGUAUAGAUCGAGGGUUCAUAUAGAUUUGCGUACUUGUGUAAAUGCUGCCGAGUACCCAUUGAUUUUUUUUGUUCUUGUGCAUAAGUUUUGUGCUCAAACUCGGCCUUUCUCAGACCCCAAUGACGUUAAUACGAUACUAGUGAUGUCAAAAUAGACCUACCUCGCGAGCCUGUCCAUAUAUUCCGAUAUGGGUUCGGAACAUUCGAAUCCGAUAAAAAAUGGACUAGACGAGGUGGUUCGCCGUGAACGGAGGUCAAUGCGAACUAGCUCGGCGAGUCUCGUAAGAAUAAGUCCGAGUUUUUUCUGUCUUUAAUGUAACAACAACUUGCGAGAUUGUAUUUAAUGUUUACAACUUAUGUUCCCAAUUACUUGUAAUUUCAAAGAUUGAAGUAGUUCAUAUA